CUGGCACAUGGAUCAUUAACUGACAACUUGCCACUGAGAGACCGCAACCCACUCAGUACGAUCCAGACAGGACUAGACCUGAGCUGACAUGUGCACACCCAGACGGACACACCAUACCUCUGAGGAGGCAACAGCAGGCACUCAUACGCCUGCUAAGACUUAGCCCAAAACCCUGGCCAUCAGGAUGUGCAGACUGGACACUGAGAUUUUUCGAAUGGCCAAUCACAACCUAGGACCGCUUAAAAAUGAAACGGGUUAGGUGCACUACCCUUGCCCAAAAGCACUAUCCCCCGAGUAAGCAACCGUCCAUGUAUAUAAAUAUCACAUACUGUUCCAUAUCCAACGCAUGCUAUGACCUUACACAUAAAACGAGACAGAAGUGAAGUAGCGGGUGGACGGGACCUAAUUGAACUGCCAUAGGCCAUAGGCCUGGGGAGUAACGCAACAUCCUAAUCCCACCUUGGAAUAUCAGUUACGUUGGCGCAACCGGGGAUACUGGGUACUCAUGUGGAUCAGAAAUGCAAC
Pelobates cultripes (western spadefoot toad) is the source of this 525-nucleotide non-coding RNA. The record is from the annotation of a GenBank genome assembly. Lineage: Eukaryota; Metazoa; Chordata; Amphibia; Anura; Pelobatidae.